RNAcentral lists this ribosomal RNA (585 nucleotides) under uncultured bacterium. RNAcentral's name for it is "bacterial SSU rRNA". It matches the Rfam family "Bacterial small subunit ribosomal RNA", at positions 338 to 916 of the family's 1533-position model. The record is from RNAcentral.
CCUACGGGAGGCAGCAGUGGGGAAUUUUGGACAAUGGGCGCAAGCCUGAUCCAGCAAUGCCGCGUGAGUGAAGAAGGCCUUCGGGUUGUAAAGCUCUUUUGUCAGGGAAGAAACGGUGAGGGCUAAUACCUCUUGCUAAUGACGGUACCUGAAGAAUAAGCACCGGCUAACUACGUGCCAGCAGCCGCGGUAAUACGUAGGGUGCAAGCGUUAAUCGGAAUUACUGGGCGUAAAGCGUGCGCAGGCGGUUUUGUAAGUCUGUCGUGAAAUCCCCGGGCUCAACCUGGGAAUUGCGAUGGAGACUGCAAGGCUAGAAUCUGGCAGAGGGGGGUAGAAUUCCACGUGUAGCAGUGAAAUGCGUAGAGAUGUGGAGGAACACCGAUGGCGAAGGCAGCCCCCUGGGUCAAGAUUGACGCUCAUGCACGAAAGCGUGGGGAGCAAACAGGAUUAGAUACCCUGGUAGUCCACGCCCUAAACGAUGUCUACUAGUUGUCGGGUUUUAAUUAACUUGGUAACGCAGCUAACGCGUGAAGUAGACCGCCUGGGGAGUACGGUCGCAAGAUUAAAACUUAAAUGAAUUGACGG